UGGGGAAUAUUGCACAAUGGGGGAAACCCUGAUGCAGCGACGCCGCGUGAGCGAAGAAGGCUUUCGAGUCGUAAAGCUCUGUCCUAUGAGAAGAUAAUGACGGUAUCAUAGGAGGAAGCCCCGGCUAACUUCGUGCCAGCAGCCGCGGUAAUACGAAGGGGGCUAGCGUUGCUCGGAAUCACUGGGCGUAAAGGGCGCGUAGGCGGACUUUUAAGUCGGGGGUGAAAGCCCAGGGCUCAACCCUGGAAUUGCCUUCGAUACUGGGAGUCUUGAGUUCGGAAGAGGUUGGUGGAACUGCGAGUGUAGAGGUGAAAUUCGUAGAUAUUCGCAAGAACACCGGUGGCGAAGGCGGCCAACUGGUCCGAAACUGACGCUGAGGCGCGAAAGCGUGGGGAGCAAACAGG
This 404-nucleotide ribosomal RNA is filed under the name Verrucomicrobiota bacterium. RNAcentral describes it as "Verrucomicrobia bacterium partial 16S ribosomal RNA". It matches the Rfam family "Bacterial small subunit ribosomal RNA", at positions 355 to 776 of the family's 1533-position model. Lineage: Bacteria; Pseudomonadati; Verrucomicrobiota. The record is from RNAcentral.